GCAUGAUAUUUUUAUUAAAGAAUUUCGGUUAUCGAUGGGGAUGCGUUCCAUUAGUUUGUUGGCGGGGUAACGGCCCACCAAGACUACGAUGGAUAGGGGUUCUGAGAGGAAGGUCCCCCACAUUGGAACUGAGACACGGUCCAAACUCCUACGGGAGGCAGCAGUGAGGAAUAUUGGUCAAUGGGCGAGAGCCUGAACCAGCCAAGUAGCGUGAAGGAUGAAGGCUCUAUGGGUCGUAAACUUCUUUUAUAUGGGGAUAAAGUAUUCCACGUGUGGAAUUUUGUAUGUACCAUAUGAAUAAGGAUCGGCUAACUCCGUGCCAGCAGCCGCGGUAAUACGGAGGAUCCGAGCGUUAUCCGGAUUUAUUGGGUUUAAAGGGAGCGUAGGUGGAUUGUUAAGUCAGUUGUGAAAGUUUGCGGCUCAACCGUAAAAUUGCAGUUGAAACUGGCAGUCUUGAGUACAGUAGAGGUGGGCGGAAUUCGUGGUGUAGCGGUGAAAUGCUUAGAUAUCACGAAGAACUCCGAUUGCGAAGGCAGCUCACUAGACUGUUACUGACACUGAUGCUCGAAAGUGUGGGUGUCAAACAGGAUUAGAUACCCUGGUAGUCCACACAGUAAACGAUGAAUACUCGCUGUUUGCGAUAUACAGUAAGCGGCC
Molecule: ribosomal RNA, 657 nt
Filed under: uncultured bacterium
Lineage: Bacteria
Description: bacterial SSU rRNA
Rfam family: Bacterial small subunit ribosomal RNA
Source: RNAcentral